GAUGAACGCUGGCGGCGUGCCUAAUACAUGCAAGUCGAGCGAACGGACGAGAAGCUUGCUUCUCUGAUGUUAGCGGCGGACGGGUGAGUAACACGUGGAUAACCUGCCUAUAAGACUGGGAUAACUUCGGGAAACCGGAGCUAAUACCGGAUAAUAUUUUGAACCGCAUGGUUCAAAAGUGAAAGACGGUCUUGCUGUCACUUAUAGAUGGAUCCGCGCUGCAUUAGCUAGUUGGUAAGGUAACGGCUUACCAAGGCAACGAUGCAUAGCCGACCUGAGAGGGUGAUCGGCCACACUGGAACUGAGACACGGUCCAGACUCCUACGGGAGGCAGCAGUAGGGAAUCUUCCGCAAUGGGCGAAAGCCUGACGGAGCAACGCCGCGUGAGUGAUGAAGGUCUUCGGAUCGUAAAACUCUGUUAUUAGGGAAGAACAUAUGUGUAGGUAACUGUGCACAUCUUGACGGUACCUAAUCAGAAAGCCACGGCUAACUACGUG
This 497-nucleotide ribosomal RNA is filed under the name uncultured bacterium. Its description in RNAcentral is "partial 16S ribosomal RNA". It matches the Rfam family "Bacterial small subunit ribosomal RNA", at positions 28 to 507 of the family's 1533-position model. The record is from RNAcentral.